GACGAACGCUGGCGGCGUGCCUAAUACAUGCAAGUCGAACGCACUCUCGUUUAGAUUGAAGGAGCUUGCCCCUGAUUGAUAAACAUUUGAGUGAGUGGCGGACGGGUGAGUAACACGUGGGUAACCUGCCCUAAAGUGGGGGAUAACAUUUGGAAACAGAUGCUAAUACCGCAUAAAACCUAACACCGCAUGGUGUAGGGUUGAAAGAUGGUUUCGGCUAAUCACUUUAGGAUGGACCCGCGGUGCAUUAGUUAGUUGGUGAGGUAAAGGCUCACCAAGACCGUGAUGCAUAGCCGACCUGAGAGGGUAAUCGGCCUACACCUGGGACUGAGACACGGCCCAGACUCCUACGGGAGGCAGCAGUAGGGAAUCUU
Molecule: ribosomal RNA, 374 nt
Filed under: uncultured bacterium
Lineage: Bacteria
Description: bacterial SSU rRNA
Rfam family: Bacterial small subunit ribosomal RNA
Source: RNAcentral